CAGUAGCCGCGGUAAUACGAAGGGUGCAAGCGUUAAUCGGAAUUACUGGGCGUAAAGCGUGCGUAGGCGGUUUGUUAAGUCUGUUGUGAAAUCCCCGGGCUCAACCUGGGAAUGGCAAUGGAUACUGGCAAGCUAGAGUGUGUCAGAGGAUGGUGGAAUUCCCGGUGUAGCGGUGAAAUGCGUAGAGAUCGGGAGGAACAUCAGUGGCGAAGGCGGCCAUCUGGAACAACACUGACGCUGAGGCACGAAAGCGUGGGGAGCAAACAGGAUUAGAUACCCCGGUAGUCCCUGUCUCUUAUAC
This 301-nucleotide ribosomal RNA is filed under the name uncultured bacterium. RNAcentral describes it as "partial 16S ribosomal RNA". It matches the Rfam family "Bacterial small subunit ribosomal RNA", at positions 509 to 807 of the family's 1533-position model. The record is from RNAcentral.